Molecule: transfer RNA, 72 nt
Filed under: Camelus bactrianus (Bactrian camel)
Lineage: Eukaryota; Metazoa; Chordata; Mammalia; Artiodactyla; Camelidae
Also listed under: 2 other names
Rfam family: tRNA
About the family: Transfer RNA (tRNA) molecules are approximately 80 nucleotides in length. Their secondary structure includes four short double-helical elements and three loops (D, anti-codon, and T loops). Further hydrogen bonds mediate the characteristic L-shaped molecular structure. tRNAs have two regions of fundamental functional importance: the anti-codon, which is responsible for specific mRNA codon recognition, and the 3' end, to which the tRNAs corresponding amino acid is attached (by aminoacyl-tRNA synthetases). tRNAs cope with the degeneracy of the genetic code in two manners: having more than one tRNA (with a specific anti-codon) for a particular amino acid; and 'wobble' base-pairing, i.e. permitting non-standard base-pairing at the 3rd anti-codon position.
Source: Rfam by way of RNAcentral
GGGGGUGUACCUCAGUGGUACAGUAUGUACCUAGCAUGCACGAGGUCCUGGGUUCAAUCCCCAGUACCUCCA